CAGCCGCCGCGGGAAAACGGAGGGUGCAAGCGUUAAUCGGAAUUACUGGGCGUAAAGCGCACGCAGGCGGUCUGUCAAGUCGGAUGUGAAAUCCCCGGGCUCAACCUGGGAACUGCAUUCGAAACUGGCAGGCUAGAGUCUUGUAGAGGGGGGUAGAAUUCCAGGUGUAGCGGUGAAAUGCGUAGAGAUCUGGAGGAAUACCGGUGGCGAAGGCGGCCCCCUGGACAAAGACUGACGCUCAGGUGCGAAAGCGUGGGGAGCAAACAGGAUUAGAUACCCCUGUAGUCCCUGUCUCUUAUAC
Molecule: ribosomal RNA, 301 nt
Filed under: uncultured bacterium
Lineage: Bacteria
Description: partial 16S ribosomal RNA
Rfam family: Bacterial small subunit ribosomal RNA
Source: RNAcentral